Molecule: unclassified non-coding RNA, 214 nt
Filed under: Hevea brasiliensis (rubber tree)
Lineage: Eukaryota; Viridiplantae; Streptophyta; Magnoliopsida; Malpighiales; Euphorbiaceae
Source: RNAcentral
UGAUCAACAGCCAGGGCAUUAUGCAGUCACCGGUGGUCCGUGAGCAUGCCGGAAUAGCUGACAACCAGGUCAUCAUGAAAAGCAUCGCAUUGGGAUGGCCGGAUGAAACCUUCCCGGCAAAUGCGGUGGUGUCCGAGCGAAAGUCAGUCGAAGAAGCCACCGUGUUCGUGGGCUUCGACAGCUAACCCCGACGCUCCGCCGUGACGGCGAUAGU